RNAcentral lists this ribosomal RNA (483 nucleotides) under Firmicutes bacterium BD7-1. RNAcentral's name for it is "bacterial SSU rRNA". It matches the Rfam family "Bacterial small subunit ribosomal RNA", at positions 33 to 497 of the family's 1533-position model. Lineage: Bacteria; Bacillati; Bacillota. The record is from RNAcentral.
ACGCUGGCAGCGUGCAUAACACAUGCAAGUCGAACGGAGAUUUCAGCAAUGGAAUGUUAGUGGCGAACGGGUGAGUAACGCGUAGACAACCUACCUUCUAGCUGGGGACAACACUGCGAAAGUGGUGCUAAUACCGAAUGUUGUAUUUUGAGUGCAUACUUAAGAUACUAAAGGUGGCCUCUAUUUAUAAGCUAUCACUAGAAGAUGGGUCUGCGUCUGAUUAGCUAGUUGGUGAGGUAACGGCUCACCAAGGCGACGAUCAGUAGCCGGUCUGAGAGGAUGAACGGCCACACUGGGACUGAGACACGGCCCAGACUCCUACGGGAGGCAGCAGUGGGGAAUCUUCCGCAAUGGACGAAAGUCUGACGGAGCAACGCCGCGUGAGUGAAGAAGGUUUUCGGAUCGUAAAACUCUGUUUUCAGGGACGAAUGUGUGGAUUGAAAUAAUGAUCCAUAAGACGGUACCUGACAAGAAAGCCACGGC